This 104-nucleotide small nucleolar RNA is filed under the name Prolemur simus (greater bamboo lemur). RNAcentral describes it as "Small nucleolar RNA U13 (ENSPSMG00000014858.1)". It matches the Rfam family "Small nucleolar RNA U13". Lineage: Eukaryota; Metazoa; Chordata; Mammalia; Primates; Lemuridae. The record is from Rfam by way of RNAcentral.
AUCCUUUUGUAGUUUAUAAGUGUGAUGAUUGGGUUUUCAUGCUCAUGUGUGAGAUGUGCCUCCCUCAAACCUUGUUACAAUGUUGGCACAUUACCCAUCUGACG